This 238-nucleotide ribosomal RNA is filed under the name uncultured bacterium. RNAcentral's name for it is "partial 16S ribosomal RNA". It matches the Rfam family "Bacterial small subunit ribosomal RNA", at positions 100 to 334 of the family's 1533-position model. The record is from RNAcentral.
CGGAACGGGUGAGUAACGCGUGAGGAACCUGCCUCAAAGAGGGGGACAACAGUUGGAAACGACUGCUAAUACCGCAUAAGCCCACGGCUCGGCAUCGAGCAGAGGGAAAAGGAGUGAUCCGCUUUGGGAUGGCCUCGCGUCCGAUUAGCUGGUUGGUGAGGUAACGGCCCACCAAGGCGACGAUCGGUAGCCGGACUGAGAGGUUGAACGGCCACAUUGGGACUGAGAUACGGCCCAG